This 3194-nucleotide long non-coding RNA is filed under the name Panax ginseng (ginseng). RNAcentral's name for it is "long non-coding RNA (PGIN_LNC014914)". Lineage: Eukaryota; Viridiplantae; Streptophyta; Magnoliopsida; Apiales; Araliaceae. The record is from RNAcentral.
GUAUCAGUAUUCUAUUGGCCAAUUAAUCAAUUUACCAAAAAAUUAACUUCAUACUAACCAGAUCCUUAAAGUACACAUGCAUCAACCUUUUGACCAUGUCCUCAGUCUUAAUACUAAAAAAACUUUAAAUGAUAACUAAAUUAUUAUAUUUGGGUUUAAUUUUCAAUGGACAAUUCUCUCCAGAGGAAAAAGAAAAGUAGUUACUAUAUGUAUAUAUACAUCACAAUACUCUCACAUUUGAUGCAUUUUAAGUAUUUAAUAUAGAUAUUGCUUUCAUGGUUUCCAAUAAUAAUAAUGUUGUUUCGUUGACUUCCAAAUCACAUAAGGAAUGUUUGCACACGGUUUAUGUUUAAUAAUGUUGCAAUUCCAAAUCCGAGCCACAAAGGCUCUCAUGCUCUGAAAGACCUCUUAAUAUAUCGAUCUUGCACAUAUGCUGCAAAAGUUCCAUCUUGAACCAUAUCCCCACAGAACUAGCACGUCACUAGGCGUAAUGGGCAGUCCGAGGAUUGGUCUUUCUCCUAGCUGAGGAAAAAAAAGAAGAAUGGUAUGAGAAGAGUGCAUAAAAUGCAAUAAAUCUGCAGCAAUUUCUUAUGAGAAUAAAAUAUUAAAAGACACAUUUGAUUGAAAAUUUAACUACACAAAGGAAAGAACUAUGUUAAAUGUUAUGUAUGGAAUUCUAUUAGGAACUGCAACUGAGGAAAGAAAGUCAAAAUAUCAAUCUUGACUGCCAAUAAUUUUUUAGGUUUUAAGUCCAUAAUAUUUAUCAUAGGCAGUACUAACGAUGAAAAGUUCAUAGACAAAUGCCAAAAUCUGAGGCAUUAGAACAGUAACAAGACAACAAACAACACAGAUUAGCAAUGCAGCAAUAGACACUAUUUUUAGAAACAAUGAUUGAUGCCAACUUGGACACCUAAAUCAAAAAAACAAAUGAAAGGCCCAAAGAAACAUGCUACCAAACAAACCUCUAGAAACCAAUCUGCUUAGCAGCUUGCCAACAAUUAUAAUCCAAAGGAGGUCAAGUCUAAACUUUUUGAAACAAGACAAUACAACUACAUAUUAGGAACAAUUAUGAACAAUCCAAUUAUUACACAAAGAUAACAAGCAUAUAAAUUCUCUUCUGACAUACAUACAUUGUAACUGUGGAACUAAUUAACUUCACAAAACAACAUCAUUCUCAUUGGCAUUUUUGCUAAAGAUACAAUUUCAUUCAUACAAAUUUAAGAAAAAGAAUAGAUAAAUAAAAUAAAAAAUGUAUAAAUUACUGAUAUAAAUAAACAAAUAAUAACAUAAUUUCAUUCAUACAAAUUUAAGAAAAAUAAUAGAUAUUGUAAAACCAACCUUAAACGUGUAACAUGUCCAAUUAAUCAUUAAUUCAGCUCAUGGUAAAAGGUGUCAUCAAUCAAUUGAUCGACACGAGAGCAAGUAGAAAGAACUCUGAUCACAAACUCUUUAGGGGCCAGCCACACUCCUAUCAUUUCCUCCCCAAUUUGAGUUCUAGUAUUUCAUUUUAUCAUAAACUAUAAAGAAUAUGUGAAACCAAAUGAUAACCCAAUUCUCAGAAUAUAAUAUGUUUAUUUUACUUGAAAAAUACCAACUGAUUAAGCAAUAGAACAGUACCAAAAUGUAAUACUUGUCAAAACAAUGAGUCUAUCUUUGGUUGAAUAAGUAAACGGAUAAAUCCAUUCCUGGGCAUUACACACGUAAUUCUAAUUGAAGUAAACAAAUGUUACCUAUAUUCUUUUUUAUAAGGCCUAAAUAUAGAUUAAUACCCUAAACUUUGCAAUUAAUGCAAUUGAUCAUACACAUGCAUACACUUGUUAAGCAACUUACAACUUUAAGCUCAAACUUCAUGCAAUUAUAAGUUGGCNNNNNNNNNNNNNNNNNNNNNNNNNNNNNNNNNNNNNNNNNNNNNNNNNNNNNNNNNNNNNNNNNNNNNNNNNNNNNNNNNNNNNNNNNNNNNNNNNNNNAAAAGAGAGAGGAAAAAAAAGAGCUGAAAUUAAAACCCAUCACCAGAAGCUAUAAAUGAUCAAAACCCAUAAAGAUAAAGACAUUGUAACAAUCUAAGGAAAAAUUUAAUUUUAAAAAGGAAAAGGAAAACCUUAAUUAAAAAAAUUAAAACCCACUUAUAGAAACAGACACUUGUCAAACCCGAUAAAAGUAAAAUGUUUUAAAAUAAACCAAAAUUUAGUACCUAAAGGAAACAAAGCUAAACAACAAACGAAAAUAGAAAAACAAUAGUAUUUACCUGAGGCACCAGGAAGAGGAAUGCAUGUCUGGUGGGGAGAAGUGGCAAACGCCAUUUUAUCAAAACCUUUUUUCUAAAACAAAUUAACAAAAACACAAAUCUUUGCCUGUUAAUGCAAUUGUUUUAAACAAUUUCUCAUGUCAAAAGCAAUUAUUCUAAACAUUUAAGGAAGUUUUCAGAACUUCUUCUCACUCCCAGUCCCAGCUCAGCUAUACCCCUCAAUUACCACAUUAUUUUCUUAAAUGAGUAAAAAAUAUUCGAAUGAUAAGUAGCCUAGCAUUUUUAAUAGGACAAAUUACAUGCUGGAAUGUGCUGAGAGAUGCUAAGAUGGAGCCUCCAAUCCAAGCACUAUACUUUCUCUCCGUAAGUUCUUCAGAAACAGUAUCAGAGUUCAGAUUAAUUUGAACUACUAGCAGAUUGAAAGGUUUCAAAUAGGUAAAUUUAUUUUUUGGAUAAAGAUAGAUGGGUUCCCAAUUCACAGUUUUCAAUUCUUAACCUUAUAAUUCGAAAACUCAAUGACAAAUCCUUAUAAUUCGAAAACUCACCGACAAAUAUUCACGCUUAGCCGCGAUUAGAGGAAUCGCCGCUGAGAUUGAGAUUGUGUCGUUACAUAGAAAUCGUACAAGGAUUCGCCGCUGAGAUUGUGUAGUUGCAGGUAAAUCGCUGCUAGAAAAAUCGCCGUUGAAAUUGUGGUUUUUUGCUUUGCCUGAUGGGGGUAAUUAUUUCGUCCAAAAAUGAGUUUAAUCCUAUCCGUUUAGUUAUACCAGUGGACGAUGAGUUAUGAUUUUUAAUCACAAGUGUUCAUAAUUGAAUUAUAAGGUAGAGAUUAGAUUUAUAUUUUUAAUUUAGACUAUAAAAUAAUAUGAAUUUUCUAACAUGCGUUAUUAUACUCGCAUAUGCCACUGAUAUUAAAUUUCUACUUAACAUUAGCGAUAUAUUUGACAAAAAU